CCUACGGGAGGCAGCAGUGAGGAAUAUUGGUCAAUGGGCGUAAGCCUGAACCAGCCAAGUCGCGUGAGGGAUGAAGGUUCUAUGGAUCGUAAACCUCUUUUAUAAGGGAAUAAAGUGUGGGACGUGUCCUGUUUUGUAUGUACCUUAUGAAUAAGGAUCGGCUAACUCCGUGCCAGCAGCCGCGGUAAUACGGAGGAUACGAGCCUUAUCCGGAUUUAUUGGGUUUAAAGGGUGCGUUGGCGGCCUUGUAAUUCAGCGGUGAAAGUUUAUGGCUCAACCCUAGUAGUGGCGUUGAAACUGGGGGGCGUGAGUAUGUGUGAGGCAGGCGGAAUGCGUGGUGUAGCGGUGAAAUGCUUAGAUAUCACGCAGAACCCCGAUUGCGAAGGCAGCCUGCCAAGCCAUGACUGACGCUGAUGCACGAAAGCGUGGGGAUCAAACAGGAUUAGAGACCCGAGUAGUC
RNAcentral lists this ribosomal RNA (460 nucleotides) under uncultured bacterium. RNAcentral describes it as "partial 16S ribosomal RNA". It matches the Rfam family "Bacterial small subunit ribosomal RNA", at positions 338 to 795 of the family's 1533-position model. The record is from RNAcentral.